This 447-nucleotide ribosomal RNA is filed under the name uncultured bacterium. RNAcentral describes it as "bacterial SSU rRNA". It matches the Rfam family "Bacterial small subunit ribosomal RNA", at positions 330 to 793 of the family's 1533-position model. The record is from RNAcentral.
CCCAGACUCCUACGGGAGGCAGCGGUGGGGGAUAUUGCACAAUGGGGGGAACCCUGAUGCAGCGACGCCGCGUGGGUGAAGGAGUAUUUCGGUAUGUAAAGCCCUAUCGGCAGGGAAGAAGCAAGACGGUACCUGACUAAGAAGCCCCGGCUAACUACGUGCCAGCAGCCGCGGUAAUACGUAGGGGGCAAGCGUUAUCCGGAUUCACUGGGUGUAAAGGGAGCGUAGACGGCCAUGCAAGCCUGGAGUGAAAGCCCGGGGCCCAACCCCGGGACUGCUCUGGGAACUGUGCGGCUGGAGUGCGGGAGGGGCAGGCGGAAUUCCUGGUGUAGCGGUGAAAUGCGUAGAUAUCAGGAGGAACACCGGCGGCGAAGGCGGCCUGCUGGACCGCGACUGACGUUGAGGCUCGAAAGCGUGGGGAGCAAACAGGAUUAGAUACCCGAGUAC